GAUCUGUCCCUCUCAUAUCUCCUUUGUUUGAUUACCCCAAUACAAUACAGGUAUAUGGUAACGGACGGUUUUAUAAUACGUAUAUCCGACCGCAGUCUAUUUAUUUAUCGGCGGAAUUCCGUCGUUCUAAACUGUGAAUACCCCUGCAGACACCUACCCAAACACGCGUGAGAUUGUACUCUGUACCCUCGCUCGUACCCUCGUAAUCCUGGCCGGUUAAUAGAAAUGGCUCCCAAAUACAGGUCGAUAUUUUACAUUUAAAAAUUCCCUUUGAAUUAGCUCCCAAGAAUUUACUAUUAAACUGGCUACCUAUGAUUUUUUUUUUCAAAAGCAUAUUGGUUACACAGUGUUAUUAAUUAUUUAUAAGCUUACUAUGAAGAUGGGUACCCACUACAUACGUAUACAUGUACAAUGUACAAUGUAAAUUACAUAUACAUUCUUACUGCAAUUGAUUAGUAUCAAUGGUAAGCUUUUGGUGAACCAGUGUU
Non-coding RNA from Cinara cedri, 488 nucleotides. NCBI's taxonomy places the organism in Eukaryota, Metazoa, Arthropoda, Insecta, Hemiptera, Aphididae. The record is from the annotation of a GenBank genome assembly.